AACGAACGCUGGCAGCGUGGAUUAGGCAUGCAAGUCGAACGGGAUCCGGAAGGUAGCAAUACCGGCCGGUGAGAGUGGCGGAAGGGCGAGGAGCACGUGGACAACCUGUCCCGUGGGUGGGGAUACCGUCCCGAAAGGGGCGUUAAUACCGAAUGGGGCCCCGGACCGCAUGGUCCGGCGGCCAAAGGCGGGGACCGCCAGGCCCGCCCCCCCGGGAGGGGUCCGCGCACCAUCAGCAAGACGGCGGGGUAACGGCCCACCGUGGCUAACGGUUAGCUGGGCUGAGAGGACGACCAGCCGCACUGGGACUGAGACACUGCCCAGACUCCUACGGGAGGCUGCAGUCGAGGAUCAUUCGCAAUGGGCGAAAGCCUGACGAUGCGACGCUGCGUGGAGGAUGAAGGCCCUCGGGUCGUAAACUCCUGUCAUGGGGGGCGAGGCGGAGGCGGUUAACGGCCGCCCGAGUUGACGGUACCCCAAGAGGAAGCCACGGCUAACUCUGUG
This 504-nucleotide ribosomal RNA is filed under the name uncultured bacterium. Its description in RNAcentral is "partial 16S ribosomal RNA". It matches the Rfam family "Bacterial small subunit ribosomal RNA", at positions 28 to 507 of the family's 1533-position model. The record is from RNAcentral.